GACGAACGCUGGCGGCGUGCUUAACACAUGCAAGUCGAACGGUAAGGCCCUUCGGGGUACACGAGUGGCGAACGGGUGAGUAACACAUGGGUGAUCUGCCCUGCACUUCGGGACAAGCCUGGGAAACUGGGUCUAAUACCGGAUAGGACCACUGCCUGCAUGGGUGGGGGUGGAAAGCUUUUGCGGUGUGGGAUGGGCCCGCGGCCUAUCAGCUUGUUGGUGGGGUGAUGGCCUACCAAGGCGACGACGGGUAGCCGGCCUGAGAGGGUGACCGGCCACACUGGGACUGAGAUACGGCCCAGACUCCUACGGGAGGCAGCAGUGGGGAAUAUUGCACAAUGGGCGCAAGCCUGAUGCAGCGACGCCGCGUGAGGGAUGACGGCCUUCGGGUUGUAAACCUCUUUCAGCACCGACGAAGCGCAAGUGACGGUAGGUGCAGAAGAAGGACCGGCCAACUACGUGCCAGCCGCCGCCGUAA
Molecule: ribosomal RNA, 478 nt
Filed under: uncultured bacterium
Lineage: Bacteria
Description: partial 16S ribosomal RNA
Rfam family: Bacterial small subunit ribosomal RNA
Source: RNAcentral